CAUAAAAAAGAACAAAGAAACCAUCAACGCAGGGAUUGUGAGCACCGCCGCAGGACUGGGAACCGGGAGAAGUCUCCGAACGCUACCACAAAGAAGGACGAGAAAGCCGUAAACGCGGCUCGCGGAACCGGCGCCGACAUCGAAACCAUCAGAAAAAGUGGAUUGCCCUCUUUCUCCUUCGAAAACCCCCAGUGUGUGCAUCAUCAUCAUCAUCAUCAAUAUUUGGAAAAGGGAUUCUUUCUCUAGGACCUUCAAAAAAUCCUCAAAAUGUAUCCAUAUGAUGAAAAGACACUGAGAAAUGAGGUUAUCUAUCUCCACUCUCUAUGGCACCAAGGCCCCCCAUCAGACCCCAACUCCAACUCCAACCCUAACCUCAACAACCCUAACCCUAGCCCCAGCUCCUCAAGAAUCCCUUAUGUUCCCAACCCCACACCAUUCUAUUACAGAUCCUAUUAUCCGCUCUGUCACCAGCAAACGCCUAACCCAAAUCCCACUCCCUAUUAUCCGCUUUGUCACCAGCAAACGCCUAACCCAAAUCCCAGUUCCUAUUAUCCGCUUUGUCACCAGCAAAUGCCUAACCCCAACCACAGAUCCAAUUAUCCCCUCUAUCAUCCACAAACCACUAUCUCAAACUCCAGACCAAAACCCUGCACUAGAAAUUCUCUCAAACCCACCAAUCCCACAUAUUUCAAGAAAGAAAACACCUCCACCACCACCACAAGGAAGAAGAGGCUCAGAGAGAAAAAGGUCAAGAAGAAGAAGAAGAAGAACAAGAUGUCACAGCCUGACCCACCACCGGAUUUGGGUCCUGAAUGGCCGUGCCCAGAACCCCUAGAGCCAGCUCUAGAAGCAUCUGGUUGGCCUGCCCUGAAGCCCGUUUCGACCCCAAAAGAUCAACCUUUGUCAGCCAAUGAGCAUGCCUAUUUUGCUGCAAUUCAAUUACAGUACAAGGCAGCUGAAGUUUGCCGUAAAUUUUUCACGAAAAGGGUUGAUUUCAAUGCCAAUGAAGAUGAAGAUGAAGACGACAAUGGAGAUGAUGAAGAUGAUGAAAUGAUGGAAGAGGGGUCUGAUGAAAAUGAAGAAUCCAGGUUCUUUUUGCUGAUGUUUGUGGAGGACAGUGAGUUGAGGAGUUACUUUGAGAAGAAUUAUGAAACUGGGGACUUUUGUUGUUUGGUUUGCCAAGGGAUUGGGAAGAAGGCGUGGAAGAGAUAUAAGGGUUGUGUUGGUCUUGUUCAGCAUUCAUUUGCGAUUUCGAAGACGAAGAGGAAGCGGGCUCAUAGGGCUUUUGGGCAAGUUGUUUGUAAGGUUCUAGGUUGGGAUUUUGAUCGGUUUCCGACAAUUGUAUUGAAGGAUGAGCCUCUCAGUCGCUCUUUGGCAAAAUCAGUCGAGUUACAGGGUGACCCUGAGGGAAAUAAUGAUGAUAAUAAGGAUGAUUCUAGUGUUAUUAAGGAAAAUGUAGUUUCUGCGAAUGAUGGUAGUGGUGAAAAUGCAGUCUCUAUCAAUGGUAGUAGUGAAAAUGCAGCUUCUGUUGAUGAAAAUAAUGGUGAAAAUGCAGUUUAUGUCAAUGCUAGUAUUGGUGAACAUGUAGUCUCUGUCAGUGGUGAUAAUGGUGAUGAUAAAGAGGUUUGACAUGUUCAUCAGGAUAGUUGAUUACUGCAGGUGAGUUCUUUGAAGGAAGAUGGCAUUAGUGAACACGUUGAAAAUCUGUGGCUGCAUCCUAGGAAAGUUAUUCUUGUACAGAUUUUCACAUUUAGUAUGGGCAAUGGUGCCUCAGGCAGUAACAAAGACAAUGACGACAAUGAGGAUGAAGAUGAUUUAUGGAUGAAGAUGGUUUGAGGGUGACAAUGAUGAGGCAUGUGAAGAAUUCAAGUUCUUGAGAGUGUUUACAGAGACAGUGAAUUGAGAAAUGUGAAGGUGGGGAAGUUUUGUUUGGGUUGUAGUGUGAUGGAGAAUAAGGCAUGGUAACUGUUUUGUUGGGCUCCCUCACAUUCGACUGCAAUAUUGAAUAGAAGAAGUGGGCUCAUAGGGUUCAUAGGCAGGUUAAUUGCAAGGUUUUAGGUUAGCGUAUUGAUUGGCUUCCAAUAAUUGUGUCACUGGGCAGACAUUUUGGGUGUAUUCUUGGCAAAGACUGAUGAGUUGCAGUGUUGCAGGAAUGCAGAGUCUGUGAAUGAUGAUUGUGAGAAUCGUGAGAUAGUUCCAAAGGAGGAUUCUGAUCAGAAUACUGGUGAUGAGUAAUUAAGUUGUGAGAUAUAGAGCAUACAGACAAUUUGGUUUGUGGUGCUGAAUGGUAUUUUAAGGGGAUAAAAACGAGAAAGGAGAAAGAGGAAGGAAGGGAGAAGGAAGAGGAUGUCUCCUCUCCAAGUCACUCACGGGGAGCGGGGGAGUGACAGGAUUCUCACAGGGGAUAGAAGUUCAUUUCAGAAAUUGGUUUUUUGA
Molecule: RNA transcript, 2436 nt
Organism: Corylus avellana
Lineage: Eukaryota; Viridiplantae; Streptophyta; Magnoliopsida; Fagales; Betulaceae
Source: RefSeq, a predicted model, not a curated record